CCUACGGGUGACAGCAGUGGGGAAUAUUGCACAAUGGGGGAAACCCUGAUGCAGCGACGCCGCGUGAGUGAAGAAGUCAUUCGUUAUGUAAAGCUCUAUCAGCAGGGAAGAAAAUGACGGUACCUGUGUUAGAAGCCCCGGCUAACUACGGGCCAGCACCCGCGGGAAUACGGAGGGGGCAAGCGUUAUCCGGAUUUUCUGGGUGUAAAGGGAGCGUAGACGGCAGUGCAAGGCUGGAGUGAAAGGCGCGGGCUCAACCCCCGGACUGGUCUGGAAACUGGACGGCUGGAGUGCAGGAGAGGUAAGUGGAAUUCCUAGUGUAGCGGUGAAAUGCGUAGAUAUAAGGAGGAACACCAGUGGCGAAGGCGGCUGACUGGACUGUAACUGACGGUGAGGCUCGAAAGCGUGGGGAGCAAACAGGAUUAGAUACCCCUGUAGUC
RNAcentral lists this ribosomal RNA (440 nucleotides) under uncultured bacterium. RNAcentral's name for it is "partial 16S ribosomal RNA". It matches the Rfam family "Bacterial small subunit ribosomal RNA", at positions 338 to 795 of the family's 1533-position model. The record is from RNAcentral.